RNAcentral lists this transfer RNA (71 nucleotides) under Escherichia coli. RNAcentral describes it as "Pseudo tRNA". It matches the Rfam family "tRNA". From Rfam's summary of the family: Transfer RNA (tRNA) molecules are approximately 80 nucleotides in length. The record is from RNAcentral. RNAcentral also lists the same sequence under 5 other names. Lineage: Bacteria; Pseudomonadati; Pseudomonadota; Gammaproteobacteria; Enterobacterales; Enterobacteriaceae.
AACCCUUUAGCUCAGUGGUAAGAGGACUCAUAAUCGCUUGGUCGCUGGUUCAAAUCCAGUAAGGGCCACCA